This 438-nucleotide long non-coding RNA is filed under the name Heterocephalus glaber (naked mole-rat). RNAcentral's name for it is "lncRNA (ENSHGLG00100049947.1)". The record is from RNAcentral. Lineage: Eukaryota; Metazoa; Chordata; Mammalia; Rodentia; Bathyergidae.
GUGGGGAUACAGUUCAGUGUGAAGAUCCCAGGUUCAAGGCCUAGUAUGGCAAAACACAUAGGAAACAAUCAGACACACCCGGAAUGUUGACAUUCACAGACCAGUAGUCUUGCCGCUGAAAAACUCCAUGAUGGUUUCAUAACUACCUCGUUCCUAGAUCAAAUCCCCUCCUGCUUCAGAUACCUAAAGGGAACUUGGUUUUGCUGACCACAUCCACCUCAGGACCUCACUGCAGAGUGAGGAGGCCUCUCUCAAGAAGGCAACUCCCUACAGAAAGAGUUCCACUGAAGAACAAAAUAAACAAUGGAAAACGUGGAGACAGAGCUUUACAUAAGCGGGCAGAGGACCAAGAGAUGACGGGGGCAGGGAGAUGUAGCAAGAACGAAGAUGCGUGGUGUGUGUGCCACAAUGAGUGUAAUCAGCAUGCACUGUAAACAU